CGCCAGCCUGAUGCAGCCAUGCCGCGUGUAUGAAGAAGGCCUUCGGGUUGUAAAGUACUUUCAGUCGUGAGGAAGGCGGUGUCGUUAAUAGCGGCAUCGUUUGACGUUAGCGACAGAAGAAGCACCGGCUAACUCCGUGCCAGCAGCCGCGGUAAUACGGAGGGUGCGAGCGUUAAUCGGAAUUACUGGGCGUAAAGCGCAUGCAGGUGGUUUGUUAAGUCAGAUGUGAAAGCCCGGGGCUCAACCUCGGAAUAGCAUUUGAAACUGGCAGACUAGAGUACUGUAGAGGGGGGUAGAAUUUCAGGUGUAGCGGUGAAAUGCGUAGAGAUCUGAAGGAAUACCGGUGGCGAAGGCGGCCCCCUGGACAGAUACUGACACUCAGAUGCGAAAGCGUGGGGAGCAAACAGGAUUAGAUACCCUGGUAGUCCACGCCGUAAACGAUGUCUACUUGGAGGUUGUGGCCUUGAGCCGUGGCUUUCGGAGCUAACGCGUUAAGUAGACCGCC
RNAcentral lists this ribosomal RNA (505 nucleotides) under Vibrio alginolyticus. Its description in RNAcentral is "bacterial SSU rRNA". It matches the Rfam family "Bacterial small subunit ribosomal RNA", at positions 376 to 873 of the family's 1533-position model. Lineage: Bacteria; Pseudomonadati; Pseudomonadota; Gammaproteobacteria; Vibrionales; Vibrionaceae. The record is from RNAcentral.